UUUGUUAUGCUUGCUGCAGUUAUGUCUGGAUUUCGCUGGACUAUGACUCAGAUUCUUCUGCAGAAAGAAGCCUAUGGUAUGACAAAAUUCAUAAAGGUAGCACAAGUGAAGAUGAAACUG
Molecule: long non-coding RNA, 120 nt
Organism: Solanum tuberosum (potato)
Lineage: Eukaryota; Viridiplantae; Streptophyta; Magnoliopsida; Solanales; Solanaceae
Exons: 3
Source: RefSeq, a predicted model, not a curated record